UUCACGCAGCGGCGAAGAGGCGAAGACCCCUAGGUUGGCAGCCUCUUGCUUUCUCUCUGUUGUGUCCUCCCCUUGCUUUUUGUCAUUUGUGGCCGCCUCUUGCUUAAUCUCUGUUGUGGCCGCGACUACGCCCGAAGAGGCGAAGACCCUCCUUGGCAGCGGCGCACACAGGGAUCUUCCAACGUCGCCAUUCGCACACUCCCGGCAGUGGCUUUCGG
This 218-nucleotide long non-coding RNA is filed under the name Ananas comosus (pineapple). RNAcentral describes it as "long non-coding RNA (ACOM_LNC018149)". Lineage: Eukaryota; Viridiplantae; Streptophyta; Magnoliopsida; Poales; Bromeliaceae. The record is from RNAcentral.